GUGCCAAAUUUGGCAACAUAUGUACUAAAAUUAGAACAAUACAGAGAAGAUUACCAUGGCCCCUAACCAAGGAAGAUAUUCAAAUUCAUGAAGCGGUUCAUGUUCUU
RNAcentral lists this small nuclear RNA (107 nucleotides) under Chinchilla lanigera (long-tailed chinchilla). The record is from RNAcentral. Lineage: Eukaryota; Metazoa; Chordata; Mammalia; Rodentia; Chinchillidae.